UUUAAUGAGAGUUUGAUCCUGGCUCAGGACGAACGCUGGCGGCGUGCCUAAUACAUGCAAGUAGAACGCUGAGGUUUGGUGUUUACACUAGACUGAUGAGUUGCGAACGGGUGAGUAACGCGUAGGUAACCUGCCUCAUAGCGGGGGAUAACUAUUGGAAACGAUAGCUAAUACCGCAUAAGAGUAAUUAACACAUGUUGGUUAUUUAAAAGGAGCAAUUGCUUCACUGUGAGAUGGACCUGCGUUGUAUUAGCUAGUUGGUGAGGUAAAGGCUCACCAAGGCGACGAUACAUAGCCGACCUGAGAGGG
Molecule: ribosomal RNA, 309 nt
Filed under: Streptococcus agalactiae
Lineage: Bacteria; Bacillati; Bacillota; Bacilli; Lactobacillales; Streptococcaceae
Description: bacterial SSU rRNA
Rfam family: Bacterial small subunit ribosomal RNA
Source: RNAcentral